UGGUAGAGACGGGGUUUUUGCCAUGUUGGCCAGGCUGGUCUCGAACUCCUGACUUCAAGUGGUCUGCCCACCUCAAUCUCCCAAAGUGCUGGGAUUAUAGGCAUGAGCCACCAUGCCCGUCCCAGAGUGUCCACUUAAAUCAUGGUUCCUGUUACUGAGAAUGUAAGUCUCCCCACCUAGAGGGCAGAAGCUGAGCAGGAGAAUGACUACCCCCACCCAGGCUGGCACUGCCCUGCCAAGGCUCCCAGGCUGGGGGGACACAGCCUGCCUAACUCCCCACCCCCCACCCUCUUUCUCAGCUUUUUCUCCAAGCAAGGCCCCCUGAGGAGGGGAAGACAGAGCUGGGUCCCCUGCUUCUCCCCAGAGUCAACCUGUUUCCCCCAAGUGAGGUGUGGAUGGUUAACAGCCAUACCUGCCUCACACCCAGACCGUGGUGGCACUGUGGAUGGCAUGAAGUGAGCCACAGUGCAUGGGGUUGGCAGUUAUAUUUUUGUAAGGACCAACCCUCUCUGGGCCUCAGUUUCCCCAUCUGAAAAAUGACGGGACUGGCCUAAAAGAUUUCUAAGGAUACUCUGAGCUCCUGAGAAGAAUGGAAUCCCCUAGGUCCCUUUCCUGACUGGGGAAAACAGAAAGAACAGCUAGGCUGUCUGUCUAAUUUAGUCUUAAAACCAAAUGUUUACUAAAGCACUUGGACUGGGCUGAACACACAUUCACUAACUUACAUCCACCCUCUCACCCUCACAGCAGCCUGCAAAGGAGGCUUCACUAUCUCAACUCAAAGAUAAGGAAGCAGAGACCCAGUCAUAGUGGGCCCCUGCCCCAGGGCUCAUGGCUGUCAGGUGGGCAGCCAGGCCUAGAACCCAGGACCAAAGUGGAGGGGGUGAGAAGAGGCAGCCAUGAGGGCCCAUCUGGUGGCCUCAGCAUGUUAAGAAACAAAUGGGUGCCCGGGCCAGGGGCACAGCACAACAGAAGCAUCGAGGGCCUCUGCUCUGGGAGCCUCCUUCCUUCCCUCCUGACGAGCUGCAGUGGGCAGAUGGAUUCACAUCCAGGAUCAAAGUGGGGGAAGGAACUUUUCAUUCAUAACGGCCUCUGUUUACAGAAGAGAAUCUUCCAAAGAGUGGAGUCUCCAGAGGAGGAAAAAUAGCCAAUAGUGUCCUGAAGGCUAACAGCUGGUGGUCACAGCUUCCCAGUGCGAAGCGAGAGGGGCAGGGGUGUGCGCGCCCAGGGAGGCGGUGCUCCUGCUGCCCACUCUGGGCAUUGUCUCUCCCUUUACUGCCCCCUUCACUCAGGCCGGAAGCCCACCUUCUAGCAGCCUGGUGCGGGGGCGGGGGGUAGGGACUCUCUUUCAGCCCUCAGAAUAGCUGGGAAGGGAGAACAGGAGUGGGGUUGGAGUGAGGGGUGGAGUGUAUUCUCUGCCUGCCAGUUCCCAACCCCCUUCAUCAGGAUAGCCGCAGGUCGCCCAGAACAUGCGCCCAGGCCUUUCAUCCCACAGGGCCACCAAGCCUGUGAGACGAGUGCAUGGCCUGUGUUUCUGAACCCAUUUUGCAGAGAGGGAAGCUGAGGCACUGUGGGCUGUGGGCUGUCUUCCUCUCUGCUGUCUCUCCCCACCAUCAGCCCAGAAUGCCCACAGGACCCGAUACCAGGUCAGCCCCCACCAGCACAGCAGAAAGCCCCUGCCCGACAGCAGCAGCUCUGGGCAGAGGGGGUUUCCAGGAGUCAGUCUCUGCCAGGCGGAGCAGGGGGUGGGGCACCCAUAGACCAAUGGGGAGGCUCCACGACUAGCUCAUUCCCUCCCCCUCCCAACAACUCCCUGCUGGAGGGCAUUGGUGGGUUCCUGACCCCGCCUCAGCAGGAGAGGUGGAGCAGCUGGGAGGUCUUAGAUGCAGCUCCCUGCCUCCCAACUCUGAGAUGGGAGGCUGGAAAAGCACAGAGGAGGCUCCUGAAAAGGAGAAGGCCUAGUUCAAGUCCCAACUCUGCCUCCACUUGCUGUGUGACCUAAGGCAAGCUGCUUACCCUCUCUGAGCCUGUUUCAUCACCUUGAGAGAGCCUGAUCACACCUACCUUCCAAAUCUGUAUGGGAACCUGCUCUGUAGACUGGAAAGUGCUGUCCAGAGGCGAAGGGGAUUCAGGCUCUGCCCCUGGCCACACAACACUGAGGACUCAUGCAGCACUGUGCUUCAAGCGGCUGGGGGCCCCUCCUCCUGUCCAGCAGCCAUCUCCAGUAGCUCAGAUGCUGGGCCUUCACCUCCCAGUUGCCAAGAAAAGCCAGAGGGAGGGGAGGAGGGAGAGGAGAAGCUCCAACCAGCAGAGGAGCUCAACACUUAGGAGGGUAGGGUGAGAAGAGAAGAGAAGCUGGAGAGACACCUUGACCCUCCUGUGGUCCAAGGGGAAACUGAGGCCCAGAGAAGAUGAUGAUUAAAUCAAGGUCAGCUGUCCAGUUACAAGAGUAGCUGGAGCUAAAAGCUAGGCAGGGGAGGGGGCAAAAGGCAGGUGGAGGAAUGCACCGGUCGGUAGGCAGAGAGACAGACAGACACACACACACGAAGGAGCUUACUUUGGGGGCCAUCCUUUCCACUUCACCAGAUACUCGACUUUACCCUGAGAAGAGAGAGAAGCAGACACAGUGAGUCUCAUGGUUGCCCCUACAGUCACUUGGAAGGACAGUUAAGGCCCAAAGGAUCCCAGCUCCAAAUCCCCUCUGCAGACACAAACACAAUCCAGGGACUGUCCACCAGGUCCUCGCCAACCCAUAUAACCGUGGCUGCUACAUGAUCACCCCAUACUGCCCUCCCUAGAACAGCACAGGAGUGCCUCUGGCUCCAAACACCUCUGAGGCUCCUGAGGCCCAAGCCCAGGUUUCAUGUCGCACGUGGGGAGCUGAGACUGCAUGGAGGUGUGCAUGCGUGGCCAAAGACCCACAGUGUCUAGAGCCCCAGUGCACAGGUCGGAAUGCUUACUUUCUUUUUUAGAUUGGAAGUCUCUAAAUUCAAGAACAUUCCUCUCUGGGGUAGUCCUCAUACUCCUCCCCCAUCUGCCGAGUCUCCUCUCAGUCUCUGAGAGGCUGCCGCUGGCUCAGAGGUAAUGGGCCAGUGACUUGAGGACUCUCAACUCAAAAGACCCUGGCAGGACCCCAUGGAAGACUGGCAAAGUCUCCACCUUCAGAAGGGGUGGUUAGCCCUGCGGUUGUUAGAGCCAGGCCCCUCCCUUCCUCACAGGCUUUAAAAGUUUACAGUUACGGUGGCUCAUGCCUGUCAUCCCAACACUUUGGAAGGCUGAGGCUGGAAGAUCGCUUGAGCCCAGAAGGAGUCUGAGACCAGCCUGGGCAACACGUGGAGGAAACCCGAGGAAAAAGGAGAAGGAGGAGGAACAGCUGCCUCAAUCAGAAGAGUAAAACCCCAAGCAGAGCUGGAGGAAGAAACCUUGACCUUCACCCUUGGCCCAAGACGACAGGACUGAGUUUUCUCUAUGGAGAAAGAAGAUGGGCUGGCAAUCAGCCCAGAGUCGUCCCUGCUCCUUCCUGCACUGACCCCAACUCCUGUCGCUCCAGCCUCCCCUCGGGGACUCGGGUCUGCCUGCCCUCACCGCACGCACCGCCCGAGUUCGCCCCGUCUUUUCUCUGGACCACAGCAGAGACCUCGCGGAGCUGCCGUCUCUCCGAUCUCAGUGCCAGAGUGUGCUUCUAAAAUGCAAAUCUGACGGGGUCACCCUGUGCUUAAAAAUUUUCCUCCCUAUUCCCCUCAGAAUAAAAUCCAACACCUCUUUCUGGCAUACAGAAAAAGAGAGUAAUAGAUUCACACCUGACUUCAUCAAGAGCAAGGGAAGCCAGAGAGAUGCCAUCAUCUUAGAAUUACAUUUUCAGUGAAAUUAUCUUUCAAGAAGUAUGUAGCCAGUAUGAGGUACAUGUAUCCAGAACGUAAGUGAAAUCGUAACACUUACAAAUACAAAAACUUAAGAGUUCGCCCCGGCACACCCUCCGGAGGGAGAUUCCAAAGCGGGAGCUUCAGGCAGGAGAACGGUGAUCCCAGACGGGGGUCUGAUGCAACAGGGAAUAAAGAAAAAUGAAGAACAUUGAUAGUGUGAAACAAUAACAAUGUCUUCUGGAUAAAAACAGAUUUAAAAUACGUAACUGAUCGCAUAUACUUGGGUGAGUGGAGUAAAAGUGUUCUAAGAUCCUUAUAUUCUUCAGGAGGAAGGUGAAGAUAGAUACCAAAUACACUUUGACGAAUUUAAGAAUCCAGGUUGUCAUCACUGGGAUAAACACUGUAAGACUGGAAAUGCAGUGCAUAGUUAUCCAAAUUAUUGGAGGAGGAAAAAGAAUGAUCAAAUCAACCCGAACGACCGUAAAGCAGGCAAGAAUGGAGAGAAAAAUAAAUACAAGACGGGGCAGGGAGGGGACAAAUAGACGAUAGCUAUAAAUUCUAAUAUUCUGUGAUUCAAUAAAUGUAAACUAAAUAUUGCAGUUAAGAUACAAAGAUUAUCAGAAUGCAUAAAUUGCUAGAUGCAGUUUACAAGAGAAACCCACAAGAGGCACUUCCAAAACAUAAAGCUAGUGAAGGUCAAAAGUGAACACAUGGGGUAAAAAUACCAUGCAAAUGCUAACAAAAAGAAGGCUGGUGCAGUUAUUUUAAUAUCUAGGGAAAAACAUCACUAGAGAUAAAUAAGGUCAUUUCAUAAUGAAAAGUGUCCAGUUCACCAGAAAAAUAGAACAAUUUCGCAUUUGUAUGCAAAUACCAGUCUUAAAAUAUAAGAAACAUGAAGAAGAGAACUAGAGGGAGAGACAGACAAAUCCACAAUUAGAGUGGGAGAUUUUAACACUCAUCCCUCCAUGAUUGGUAGGAGAAGAAAAAUAUUCAAUAGUAUAUAGGAGAUAAGCGACUUGAACAUGAUUAAUGAACUUAACUAAUAGACUUAUAGCACACUGUUAUCUACAAUGGUAAAAUACUCCCCUUUUCAAGACAUAUGGAAUACUUACAAAAACAGUUAAUUUCAAUAAAUUUCAAAAGUCAGAAAUAACAGAAUACAUUCUCUGAGCACAGCACAUAUAAGCUAAAGAUGAAUAACAAAAAGUUCACUUUAAAAGCCCCAUGUUUGGAAAGUAAGAAGUAUGGGUUUGUUGUUGUUGUUAUUUUCGUUAUAUUUAUUUAUUU
Molecule: long non-coding RNA, 5147 nt
Organism: Piliocolobus tephrosceles (Ugandan red Colobus)
Lineage: Eukaryota; Metazoa; Chordata; Mammalia; Primates; Cercopithecidae
Exons: 3
Source: RefSeq, a predicted model, not a curated record